GGACUACAGGGGUUUCUAAUCCCGUUCACUCCCCUAGCUUUCGUGCCUCAGCGUCAGAAAAGGCCCAGUGUGCCGCUUUCGCUGCUGGCGUUCCUUCCGAUCUCUACACAUUUCACCGCUCCACCGGAAGUUCCACACACCCCUACCUCACUCAAGUCAACUAGUUUCACGCGCAGUUUUCUGGUUGAGCCAGAAGAUUUCACACGUGACUUAGAUGACCGCCUACGCACCCUUUAAGCCCAGUGAUUCCGAAUAACGUUCGCACAGUUCGUAUUACCGCGGCUGCUGGCAC
RNAcentral lists this ribosomal RNA (292 nucleotides) under uncultured Planctomycetota bacterium. RNAcentral's name for it is "uncultured planctomycete partial 16S ribosomal RNA". Lineage: Bacteria; Pseudomonadati; Planctomycetota. The record is from RNAcentral.